AAUCAACGCUGGCGGCGUGCCUCAGACAUGCAAGUCGAACGAUUAAAGCUCUCUUCGGAGAGUGCAUAGAGUGGCGCACGGGUGAGUAACACGUAAGUAAUCUACCUUCGAGUGGGGAAUAACAGUCGGAAACGACUGCUAAUACCGCAUAAUGCAGCGGCAUCGCAAGAUGACAGUUGUUAAAGGAGCAAUUCGCUUGAAGAGGAGCUUGCGGCAGAUUAGCUUGUUGGUAAGGUAACGGCUUACCAAGGCUACGAUCUGUAACCGGUCUAAGAGGACGGUCGGUCACACUGACACUGAAUAACGGGUCAGACUCCUACGGAGGCAGCAGUCGGAAUAUUGGACAAUGGGCGCAAGCCUGAUCCAGCCAUGCCGCGUGAGUGACGAAGGUCUUCGGAUUGUAAAGCUCUUUUGCCAGGACGAUAAUGACGGUACCUGGAGAAUAAG
RNAcentral lists this ribosomal RNA (447 nucleotides) under uncultured bacterium. Its description in RNAcentral is "bacterial SSU rRNA". It matches the Rfam family "Bacterial small subunit ribosomal RNA", at positions 32 to 490 of the family's 1533-position model. The record is from RNAcentral.